UACAGAGGUGGCAAGCGUUGUUCGGAAUUACUGGGCGUAAAGGGCGCGUAGGCGGUUCGUCAAGUCCUGUGUGAAAUCCCCCGGCUCAACUGGGGAACUGCACAGGAAACUAGCGGGCUUGAGUUCGGGAGAGGGAAGCGGAAUUCCGGGUGUAGCGGUGAAAUGCGUAGAUAUCCGGAGGAACACCGGUGGCGAAGGCGGCGUUCUGGACUGCAACUGACACUGAAAAACGAAAGCCAGGGGAGCAAACGGG
Molecule: ribosomal RNA, 253 nt
Filed under: uncultured bacterium
Lineage: Bacteria
Description: partial 16S ribosomal RNA
Rfam family: Bacterial small subunit ribosomal RNA
Source: RNAcentral